RNAcentral lists this ribosomal RNA (270 nucleotides) under uncultured bacterium. RNAcentral's name for it is "partial 16S ribosomal RNA". It matches the Rfam family "Bacterial small subunit ribosomal RNA", at positions 28 to 296 of the family's 1533-position model. The record is from RNAcentral.
GAUGAACGCUAGCGGCAGGCCUAAUACAUGCAAGUCGAGGGGCAGCGGGAAUAGCAAUAUUUGCCGGCGACCGGCGCACGGGUGCGUAACACGUAUACAAUCUGCCCAUAUCAGGGGGAUAGCCCGGAGAAAUCCGGAUUAAUACCCCAUAAUACAAGGAACGGCAUCGUUUUUUGUUGAAAGCUACGGCGGAUAUGGAUGAGUAUGCGACUGAUUAGUUAGUUGGCGAGGUAACGGCUCACCAAGACCACGAUCAGUAGGGGAUCUGAG